Long non-coding RNA from Pseudophryne corroboree (corroboree frog), 483 nucleotides. RefSeq lists it as uncharacterized. The transcript is spliced from 3 exons. NCBI's taxonomy places the organism in Eukaryota, Metazoa, Chordata, Amphibia, Anura, Myobatrachidae. The record is from RefSeq and is a predicted model, not a curated record.
CUUCAGCAAGGAAAGGGUUAAGAACAUUUUCUAUGCUAUAGCUGUCAUGCGCUUGGACAGUUAACUGCCGUGUGCCGAGUCUGUUGGCAGUUGGGCGGCGGCCAUCUUAGGAGGAUGGGCAGAGUGAAACAGGACCUAGGAGCAGAAGGUGCUGAGCUGAUUUGGUGGUGUACAUGGUGACCAAAGGAGGCUCCUUACCUGAUCUUCAAUAAAUCAGAGUCCAGCAGCUGACAAAGAGAGUGUCUAUGGAGUGAUCAGAGGAGCGGCACCAGUGGCUGGAGACGGAGGGCAGCAGCAGUCGGGAAGCAGGAGCGGGGAUUUGCCCGGCAGCUGCGCGAGGUCCGCGGUGUGUGACUGAGGAGGUGGGGAGGGAUGCGGAUGGGCAGAGGAAGCAGGACUCCAGCCUGAGAGAGUCAGCCAUGCCAAGUCUCCACCAGCAGCAGAUCUCAACAGGUUGGAGUGGAACAGCAGCAGCCAGCAGCA